Molecule: ribosomal RNA, 177 nt
Filed under: Ophiostoma quercus
Lineage: Eukaryota; Fungi; Ascomycota; Sordariomycetes; Ophiostomatales; Ophiostomataceae
Description: partial 28S ribosomal RNA
Rfam family: Eukaryotic large subunit ribosomal RNA
Source: RNAcentral
UUGACCUCGGAUCAGGUAGGAUUACCCGCUGAACUUAAGCAUAUCAAUAAGCGGAGGAAAAGAAACCAACAGGGAUUGCCCCAGUAACGGCGAGUGAAGCGGCAACAGCUCAAAUUUGAAAUCUGGCCUUCGGGUCCGAGUUGUAAUUUGGAGAGGAUGCUUUUGGCGCGGCGCCGU